This 2086-nucleotide long non-coding RNA is filed under the name Panax ginseng (ginseng). RNAcentral's name for it is "long non-coding RNA (PGIN_LNC014761)". Lineage: Eukaryota; Viridiplantae; Streptophyta; Magnoliopsida; Apiales; Araliaceae. The record is from RNAcentral.
UCCUUACUAUUCAAGGCUUAAGGACUAAGUUAACUUAGCCCUCAAGUUUGCUUAGCCCUUAAGUUUCGUAGUUUCGUCUUUCGUGUAAAAACUCAAAACCAUAAUAAGACUCGUAUGUAUAAAAUCCCGUUAUAUAAAUAAAAAUUUCUCCGUUCUGAAUGUGUUAUGUGUUAAUAUAUACUUUGUUUAACAAAUUUGACCAAAUAAAUUUUUGUCCGAAAAACGUCGUGCUUCACACCUCGUGCUUAAUUUUUUUUUUCCAUAAUCAGACUUUUUGGCAUAAUUAUUUUUACAAGUUGCUUUGUCAUGCUUACACUGACAAAACGCUUUGUCGUGCUUGUUAGGAUUAGUGAGAAAUUUAGGUUAACAACCCUAGAUUAACAAACCCUAACCCUAAUUAGAAAAACCCUAACCCUAAUUAGUAAAUCUAACCCUAAUUAGCUAAACUAACCCUAAUUAGCUUAUGUUAACACCUAAUCAUGGUUAGUAAACUUCAAUUAGGUAUUAAUAAACAUCAUUUAACAUUCCUAAUCAUUAAAAACAAAACCUUAAUCCAGAUUAGUGAAGAUUUGGACAAAACUACGCUACUAAACAAACCUAACUAGCUUACAAGUAGGUUAAGAGUCACCCAACCAAGUUCCAAGGCAGCACAUAAGCUGAUAACAAACCCUAAACAGCACAAGUAACUUUGCAUCAGAUAUUUGUAGAGGCAAGUUGCUCAAAAAUGACCAAAAAGCCAAGUUGAAGAAUUUUAUAAGUAAGAACCUUAGAGCUAAGCAAACUCACGAAAUUUCUAAGCCUAUAUACACUUAUAAACUUACCAAAUCAAUCCUGAGUGUUAGCAGCAACAACAUCAAAAGCUAGAAUCAAAAAUCAUUCAAGAAAAGGUACAAACCCUAGUUCAUAAUUAACUCUUUGAUCCUAUGUUAGUUUUGUUGUUUAGAUGUUUAGAAUUAUGUAUUAGUAUGUUAGAAAGUAUGUUAGAUUGGUAGAACAUGUUUUCAUAACAUCUAGAUGCCUUAAUUAAGUGUUUUAAGAAAUCUGGAAAUUUUGAAAACUAAGUCUGACAGCCGAAUGUCAGGGCCUAUAGAUUCAUAUGUGGUUAUGUUUUGGUCUGUUAAUUGUUUGGUAUUUGUAGCCUGUUAGUAGGUCUUUAAUCUGGAAAAGAAAACAGGUUCAUUUGAACCAUAGAUUUCAAGUUAUAAGUAGUCAAAAUGGGUUGACCGUUCACGGAUUGCAGUUUUCUGGGUUACCUAGAAAACUCAAGAACAGUCGAAUUGGCUACUUUGACCAACCUUUUUAAUCACUUUCUGUUUGUUAUUUUUGUAAUGUUUUGUUAUAGAUCAAUACCCUGUUAUAUGAACUACAUAUCUAUGAUCUCAAACUGCUAAAACAACUAAUAGGAUUACUGGAAUUAAUGGUCAAAAGUCGUUGACCAAGCUUGACCAACCCAAAAAACUGAAGAACACGAAGAACAACGUUUGGCUGUAUUUUGACCAGCAUAAUUAGAGACCUUAGAGUUAUGCUUUGUUCAUGUUAAUGUUAUACAUAUGUACCUUGACAUAUAUAUUACAUGUUACAACAAACACCACACACAUCUAAUACACAGAAUCAAAGAUAUUCAAGUCACAAAACCGUUGACCGGCCAUGACUACUGUUCUGGGUUACCCAGAAACUCACGAACAGCUUUGACAGUGACUUUGAGCCUCUAUAACUUCUUGUUAUAUGUAGGUUAAAGCCUAAAUUUUGAUUUAUGUUGUACUACUGUAUGAGUACUACAACAUCAACUCUUGAACAAACAAAAAAUCAUUAACAGUAGCAUUUUAUCUAGUGGUCAAACUGGUCACUCGACCAUGACCAAACUGUUGCCCAGAAACUCAAGAACACCUACAGCGGCACUUUUUGUCACUGAAGGGCUUUAGCGACAGACAGAAAUUGAUUUUUCUAAAAAUAAAUUAUAAAAAUUAGAAAUAAUUAAUAAAUAAAUAUAAAAACAGUUUUAAAAAUUAUAUUAAAUAAAUAUAAUUAAAUUUUGAUAUUUUUACAUAAAUUCAAUAAUUAUUUAUUUUAUUUAGAUAUUAUUAAU